AGUCUGAUGUGAAAGCCCACGGCUCAACCGUGGAGGGUCAUUGGAAACUGGAAAACUUGAGUGCAGAAGAGGAAAGUGGAAUUCCAUGUGUAGCGGUGAAAUGCGCAGAGAUAUGGAGGAACACCAGUGGCGAAGGCGACUUUCUGGUCUGUAACUGACGCUGAUGUGCGAAAGCGUGGGGAUCAAACAGGAUUAGAUACCCUGGUAGUCCACGCCGUAAACGAUGAGUGCUAAGUGUUAGGGGGUUUCCGCCCCUUAGUGCUGCAGCUAACG
RNAcentral lists this ribosomal RNA (273 nucleotides) under Staphylococcus aureus. RNAcentral describes it as "partial 16S ribosomal RNA". It matches the Rfam family "Bacterial small subunit ribosomal RNA", at positions 586 to 857 of the family's 1533-position model. The record is from RNAcentral. Lineage: Bacteria; Bacillati; Bacillota; Bacilli; Caryophanales; Staphylococcaceae.